Molecule: long non-coding RNA, 2612 nt
Filed under: Mus musculus (house mouse)
Lineage: Eukaryota; Metazoa; Chordata; Mammalia; Rodentia; Muridae
Description: long non-coding RNA chr2:48838115-48840727
Source: RNAcentral
UUUUUUUUUAUUUAUUUAUUUAUUUAUUUAUUUAUUUAUUUAUUUAUUUUUUAGUUUUUGUUCUAAAGAGUAUAAAACCUUUUUUGACUAUAUAUGUACUUUCUGUCAUUGCCUUUGUAUCUUUAAAAUAAAUGUUUUCAUAGUUUUUCUGAGAUACAAUGAUUUAAUUUCAUGUUUUAUCUUCUAUUUCUUUUUCUAAUAGUCACAUAUUUUACUCCCCUUAGAGAAAUUCCUAAAGUUACUGUCUUUUGGGUUGGUAAUUGGCUAUCCAGAUUUGCUUGAGGAAGUCUUUAAAUUUUUAUGUUUUGCUAUUCAUGUGCUUCCCCCCCCCCAGGAUAUUUGUAAAAAGUGUUAAAGUUGAUUUUGCAUCAUUAUUCAAGAAGGUAACUAUUCAUCCUUGCUUUUGGUUAUAUUCUUAAGCCAGUAUCCAAUUUAUGAUUGUACGUCCCUUCCAGUUAUAUGUGGGUGUAUUAAAAUGCAAUAUUUUGAAUUUGUGGGAGAAAAUCUAGGAGUUGAAUGUAUUUGGGGAACUAUGAAACAAUAUUAGGGGAAAGCAGGGAAUAGUGUAUGAAAUUAAGAGCCAUUCAAAAGAAAUGUACUGCUUCUUACAUUGCUGUGAAGAAAACAGAAAGCUUGAGUUUGCUAUUCUCUAGUUGUAGAAAAAAUUCUGUAUAUAAAUUGAAUGUAAAUGUUACAAUAUGGUUUAUAUCUAAGUGAUGAGUUGCAUGAGAAGGCAGCUGAAUACUAGCUGAAUGCGUAGGAAACCAAGCACAGUGAAAAAUCAAGAGGCAAGGUAGCCUGGGAGGCUUCCUGAGGAAAACGGGGCAUCAACGAAGCCUGAAGAUUUAGGUAGAUGGGAGAGUAGUUGUGGAUAUUGAGGAUAUGAACAAUAAGAAUGCCAUGCUUGUGGUAAAAUGACCUGACAUGGGAGAUGGAUAAAGAGGGUGAGUGAAUCAUUGCCAUGUUUCUUGUAGGACCUUGGAUUCUAGAUAAUGUCUUUGGUGUCUGUAGGAUGAUUAGGGGAUGGUAUAGGAGAGGAAAGAGUUGGAGAAGUAAAGGGGUAUGAGAUAGGUGAGUAAAAAUGUGCACAGAAGGAUUUGAGAGACUCAGAUAUUCUGACUGAAACAAACAACAAUUAUUAAACAAGUGUCUAAGGUAUAAGAAGACCUUCAGUAUCAGACUUCCCUGUUGAUUGUUAACACUUGUUACUGCUGGCUUAUUUCUUCCUUCCUUCAAUAUCUUUUUGUUUGAUUAUCUUUUUGUUCUUCAUUUAAUGAAAAUGUUACUUUUUUUAAAAGAUUUAUUUACUUAUUAUAUGUAAGUACACUGUAGCUGUCUUCAGACACUCCAGAAGAGGGAGUCAGAUCUCGUUACGGAUGGUUGUGAGCCACCAUGUGGUUGCUGGGAUUUGAACUCCGGACCUUCGGAAGAGCAGUCGAGUGCUCUUACCCACUGAGCCAUCUCACCAGCCCGAAAAUGUUACUUUUAAUAUAACUUGAUAUAUUUGCACCUCCUUGAAUGAAUCAUUCUCAAGCCAAAAUACUGUUUUAACAUCUCUCAUUUCUUUCUUAUUAGAGCAUUUAUGUCUUGAAACAGUGUUGGUGUGUAAUUCUUUGGACUGUCUAGUUCCUUUGUGAGUUACCCAGGCUGAAGUUUACAGUGAAUAGUGAACUUUUACGAAUUAUCCCUUACAACUUCAAAUUAACCUGCAGGAGUUAGUAUACAGGGACACUGAAUUCAUGAGUCUUUCAGCUUAUUCACGUAAGAUCUAGCCUAUAUACCUCUGCACUUAUACAUAUGGUAUAUUUAAUUAUAAAUUUAUUUCAUAAGAGAUAUAGCACUGCCUUAUGAAGGAAAAAAGUUUUUCCUAGCAAACUUGUUCAUAUACUAAUCAUUUUUUCCUCUGAAUUAGUGAAAACAUGGGCUCACAUGUUUGUAUUCCAAUAUAAUUAAGAUUUUAAUGGUCAUCUAACUUUUAGAAUGUGCACCACUAACUAGUUUUACAUCUAUCAAAGAAGAAAUUAUAAAUUCUAAAUCAACAUAGUAUGUAAAGAACAACUAAAAGUCUAGAAUGUUUUAGUAUAAAGAACUUCUAUAUAUUAGUCAAAGAAUCCUCAUUGACUAUUCUGCAUGUUGCGUAGUUGAUUUAAAGCACUGGUACAAUACAGUGUACCAUACUUCAUGUUUUCAGAGUACUUCUCGCCCGUUACUACUGAUUUCAUUCUCUGUCUGAUAGCAAUAGACUGAAAUCUUUUUCUUGUGGUAUUUUGAUUUAUCAUUACCAUUUCUACAUCUGUCAUCAACUCAUUUCGUGGUUUAUACAAUUAAAGAUAUAAUGAUUUUAUUUCUUCUUUGAGAAUGGAACUGCUAAAUGACCACAGUAUUCGAGUUGACUACCAAGGUCCCCAUGUCAUCAGUUAAGCUGGGCUUAGGGCAGAUGUCCAGUAUAGCCUUUCUAAAUUUUUAAUAAUUUUCCCCUAAGUGCAUUCAACUGAAAUGCACAGUAAUAGAUAUUCUACUUAUCAGUCCUUCCUAUGGUUUUUCUUUUCCUUUGUUAAGUUAGAGAAAACGAUUAUGUUACCUUGGGGCACAUUUUUAAGUACACAGAAGAC